CUACGGGAGGCAGCAGUGAGGAAUAUUGGUCAAUGGGCGCAAGCCUGAACCAGCCAUGCCGCGUGGAGGAUGAAGGCCUUCUGGGUUGUAAACUUCUUUUAUCUGGGAAGAAAAGCGAGGUUUCUACUUCGUCCGACGGUACCAGAUGAAUAAGCACCGGCUAACUCCGUGCCAGCAGCCGCGGUAAUACGGAGGGUGCAAGCGUUAUCCGGAUUUACUGGGUUUAAAGGGUGUGUAGGCGGAUAAUUAAGUCAGAGGUGAAAUCUCCGGGCUCAACCCGGAAACUGCCUUUGAUACUAUUUAUCUUGAAUUUCGUUGAGGUUGGCAGAAUAUAUCAUGUAGCGGUGAAAUGCAUAGAUAUGAUAUAGAAUACCGAUUGCGUAGGCAGCUGGCUGAACGACGAUUGACGCUGAGGCACGAAAGCGUGGGUAGCGAACAGGAUUAGAUACCCCGGUAGUCC
Molecule: ribosomal RNA, 460 nt
Filed under: uncultured bacterium
Lineage: Bacteria
Description: bacterial SSU rRNA
Rfam family: Bacterial small subunit ribosomal RNA
Source: RNAcentral